RNAcentral lists this ribosomal RNA (701 nucleotides) under uncultured Escherichia sp. RNAcentral's name for it is "bacterial SSU rRNA". It matches the Rfam family "Bacterial small subunit ribosomal RNA", at positions 79 to 776 of the family's 1533-position model. The record is from RNAcentral. Lineage: Bacteria; Pseudomonadati; Pseudomonadota; Gammaproteobacteria; Enterobacterales; Enterobacteriaceae.
GCUGCUUCGCUGACGAGUGGCGGACGGGUGAGUAAUGUCUGGGAAACUGCCUGAUGGAGGGGGAUAACUACUGGAAACGGUAGCUAAUACCGCAUAACGUCGCAAGACCAAAGAGGGGGACCUUAGGGCCUCUUGCCAUCGGAUGUGCCCAGAUGGGAUUAGCUAGUAGGUGGGGUAACGGCUCACCUAGGCGACGAUCCCUAGCUGGUCUGAGAGGAUGACCAGCCACACUGGAACUGAGACACGGUCCAGACUCCUACGGGAGGCAGCAGUGGGGAAUAUUGCACAAUGGGCGCAAGCCUGAUGCAGCCAUGCCGCGUGUAUGAAGAAGGCCUUCGGGUUGUAAAGUACUUUCAGCGGGGAGGAAGGGAGUAAAGUUAAUACCUUUGCUCAUUGACGUUACCCGCAGAAGAAGCACCGGCUAACUCCGUGCCAGCAGCCGCGGUAAUACGGAGGGUGCAAGCGUUAAUCGGAAUUACUGGGCGUAAAGCGCACGCAGGCGGUUUGUUAAGUCAGAUGUGAAAUCCCCGGGCUCAACCUGGGAACUGCAUCUGAUACUGGCAAGCUUGAGUCUCGUAGAGGGGGGUAGAAUUCCAGGUGUAGCGGUGAAAUGCGUAGAGAUCUGGAGGAAUACCGGUGGCGAAGGCGGCCCCCUGGACGAAGACUGACGCUCAGGUGCGAAAGCGUGGGGAGCAAACAGG